This 425-nucleotide ribosomal RNA is filed under the name uncultured bacterium. RNAcentral describes it as "partial 16S ribosomal RNA". It matches the Rfam family "Bacterial small subunit ribosomal RNA", at positions 354 to 796 of the family's 1533-position model. The record is from RNAcentral.
GUUAGGAAUAUUGGACAAUGGGCGAAAGCCUGAUCCAGCCAUGCCGCGUGAACGAUGAAGGCCUUCGGGUUGUAAAGUUCUUUAGCCGAUGAUUAUAAUGACUGUAGUCGGAAAAUAAGCCCCGGCUAACUUCGUGCCAGCAGCCGCGGUAAUACGAAGGGGGCGAGCGUUAUUCGGAAUCACUGGGCGUAAAGCGUGCGUAGGCGGUCUCGUAAGUUAGGAGUGAAAGCCCAGGGUUCAACCUUGGAAUUGCUCUUAAUACUGCAAGGCUAGAAUCUCGGAGAGGAUAGCGGAAUUUCCAGUGUAGCAGUGAAAUGCGUAGAUAUUGGAAGGAACACCAGUGGCGUAAGCGGCUAUCUGGACGAGUAUUGACGCUGAGGCACGAAAGCGUGGGGAUCAAACAGGAUUAGAUACCCCGGUAGUCC